Molecule: ribosomal RNA, 253 nt
Filed under: uncultured bacterium
Lineage: Bacteria
Description: partial 16S ribosomal RNA
Rfam family: Bacterial small subunit ribosomal RNA
Source: RNAcentral
UACGUAGGGGGCUAGCGUUGUCCGGAUUUAUUGGGCGUAAAGAGCGUGUAGGCGGUUUGGUAGGUCCGUUGUGAAAACUCGAGGCUCAACCUCGAGACGCCGAUGGAAACCAUCAGACUAGAGUCCGGAAGAGGAGAGUGGAAUUCCUGGUGUAGCGGUGAAAUGCGCAGAUAUCAGGAAGAACACCCGUGGCUAAGGCGGCUCUCUAGUACGGUACUGACGCUGAGGCACGAAAGCGUGGGGAGCAAACAGG